Molecule: ribosomal RNA, 410 nt
Filed under: uncultured microorganism
Description: bacterial SSU rRNA
Rfam family: Archaeal small subunit ribosomal RNA
Source: RNAcentral
GUGCAGCAGUCGAGAAUACUUUACAAUGUGCGAAAGCACGAUAAGGGAACUCUGAGUGCCUCCUAAGGAGACUGUUCAGGUGUCUAAAAGCACCUGGAGUAAGGGCUGGGUAAGACCGGUGCCAGCCGCCGCGGUAACACCGGCAGCCCAGGUGGUAGCCACUUUUAUUGGGUCUAAAGCGUCCGUAGCCGGUUGAGUAAGUUCCUUGGGAAAUUUGGCUGCUCAACAGUCAAGCUUCCAGGGAAUACUGCUCGACUUGGGGACUGGGAGAGGUCAGAGGUACUCCAGGGGUAGGGUGAAAAUCCAUUAAUCCCUGGGGGACCACCGGUAGCGAAGGCGUCUGACCAGACCAGGUCCGACGGUGAGGGACGAAGGCUAGGGUCGCGAACCGGAUUAGAUACCCGUGUAGU